Molecule: transfer RNA, 85 nt
Filed under: Flavobacteriaceae bacterium CG_4_9_14_3_um_filter_33_16
Lineage: Bacteria; Pseudomonadati; Bacteroidota; Flavobacteriia; Flavobacteriales; Flavobacteriaceae
Description: tRNA-Tyr
Rfam family: tRNA
About the family: Transfer RNA (tRNA) molecules are approximately 80 nucleotides in length. Their secondary structure includes four short double-helical elements and three loops (D, anti-codon, and T loops).
Source: RNAcentral
GGGAGAGAUGGCACAGUGGAGGGCCAUCAGACUGUAAAUCUGACGCGGAAACGCAUGGUGGGUUCGAACCCUACCUCUCCCACCA